GGAAGGUGGGACGACGUCAAGUCAUCAUGCCCCUUAUGUCCAGGGCUGCACGCAUGCUACAAUGGCAAGUACAACGAGUCGCAAUACCGCGAGGUGGAGCAAAUCUCUUAAAGCUUGUCUCAGUUCGGAUAGGAGUCUGCAACUCGACUCCUUGAAGUUGGAGUCGCUAGUAAUCGCAAAUCAGCAAAGUUGCGGUGAAUACGUUCUCGGGGUUUGUACACACCGCCCGUCAAGUCACGGAAGUCGGCAAUACCCGAAGCCAGUGGUCCAACCCUUUUGGGAGGAAGCUGUCGAAGGUAGGGUCGGUAACUGGGACUAAGUCGUAACAAGGUAGCCGUACGGGAACGUGCGGCUGGAUCACCUCCUUUCUAAGGAGCAUAGAACUUCGGUUCUAAGGUCAAUCGUCGGUUGUCUACAAGACUGAUACAUUACUCAGCUGUGAGAAAGUCAAAUUGGCUUUUUGAAAAUUGUAUAGCAAGCGCAAUUGCAAAGUAUUCAUAUAGUUCAAGCUACUAAGGGCUAUUGGUGGAUGCCUUGGCGCUGGAAGCCGAUGAAGGACGUGGAAGACUGCGAAAAGCUACGGGAAG
This 587-nucleotide small RNA is filed under the name uncultured bacterium. RNAcentral describes it as "bacterial SSU rRNA". The stretch from base 1 to 368 matches the Rfam family "Bacterial small subunit ribosomal RNA", at positions 1168 to 1533 of the family's 1533-position model. The record is from RNAcentral.